GAUGAACGCUCGCGAUAGGCUUAACACAUGCAAGUCGAGGGGUAACGUGUUGGAAGCUUGCUUCCGAUGACGACGACCGGCGGAUGGGUGCGUAACGCGUAUGCAACUUGCCUCACAGUGGAGAAUAACCCGGAGAAAUCCGGACUAAUACUCCAUACACUCUUAAGUACGCCUGUACAUGAGAGGAAAGAUUUAUCGCUGUUAGAUAGGCAUGCGUCCUAUUAGGUAGUUGGUGAGGUAACGGCUCACCAAGCCGACGAUAGGUAGGGGUGCUGAGAGGCAGAUCCCCCACAUUGGGACUGAGACACGGCCCAAACUCCUACGGGAGGCAGCAGUGAGGAAUAUUGGUCAAUGGAGGAAACUCUGAACCAGCCAAGUCGCGUGAAGGAAGAAUGUCCUAAGGAUUGUAAACUUCUUUAGCGAGCGAGUAAGGACUUCCACGUGAUGGGAGUUUGAAAGUAGCUCGAGAAUAAGUAUCGGCUAACUCCGUG
RNAcentral lists this ribosomal RNA (491 nucleotides) under uncultured bacterium. Its description in RNAcentral is "partial 16S ribosomal RNA". It matches the Rfam family "Bacterial small subunit ribosomal RNA", at positions 28 to 507 of the family's 1533-position model. The record is from RNAcentral.